RNAcentral lists this ribosomal RNA (253 nucleotides) under uncultured bacterium. Its description in RNAcentral is "partial 16S ribosomal RNA". It matches the Rfam family "Bacterial small subunit ribosomal RNA", at positions 524 to 776 of the family's 1533-position model. The record is from RNAcentral.
UACGGAGGGUGCAAACGUUGCUCGGAAUCAUUGGGCGUAAAGCGCACGUAGGCGGCUUUGCAAGUUGAAUGUGAAAGCCCUGGGCUCAACCCAGGAAGUGCAUCCAAAACUGCAAGGCUCGAGUUCCGAAGGGGGCCAGAGAAUUCCCGGUGUAGAGGUGAAAUUCGUAGAUAUCGGGAGGAAUACCAGUGGCGAAGGCGCUGGCCUGGUCGGAUACUGACGCUGAGGUGCGAUAGCGUGGGGAGCAAACAGG